RNAcentral lists this unclassified non-coding RNA (724 nucleotides) under Hevea brasiliensis (rubber tree). The record is from RNAcentral. Lineage: Eukaryota; Viridiplantae; Streptophyta; Magnoliopsida; Malpighiales; Euphorbiaceae.
CCACCAGAGGAGUCAAAAAUUAUGACUCUUGAUCUCCUUAAAAAUAUGGACUUGAAUGAUCCUCAAAAUGAAAAGUCUCGUGGGCAGCUAGAGGUGGAACUAACAUAUAAACCAUUCAAGGAGGAGGAUUUGCCCAGUGGUUUUGAAGAAGUCGAAUACAGUGCAGAAGGCUCCUGAUGGAACCCCUGCUGGUGGAGGUCUGCUUGUAGUGAUUGUUCAUGAGGCUCAGGAUGUUGAAGGAAAGCAUCAUACUAAUCCACAUGUACGGCUUCUCUUUAGAGGGGAGGAGAGGAAAACUAAGUAUUUGAAGAAGAACCGAGAUCCGAGAUGGGAGGAGGAGUUCCAUUUUAUGUUGGAUGAGCCUCCCACUAAUGAUAAGCUACAUGUGGAAGUUGUCAGCACUUCAUCAAGAAUGGGCUUGUUGCAUCCUAAGGAGUCUCUGGGUUAUGUGGACAUCAGUCUUGCGGAUGUUGUUAGCAAUAAAAGAAUCAAUGAGAAGUACCAUCUUAUAGACUCCAAGAAUGGCCGGAUUCAAAUUGAGAUGCAGUGGAGAACAGCGUCAUGAGCUUAUCGAGUUUUUUUUUUUCAUGAAUCUUUUCUUUCAUUUGGAUUGUGAUUUUAGGCAGCACGUUAUAGGAAUACUCGUCUGUUGUUUUUGCUCUAACAAUCCAAUUCUUUUCGUUGCUUCUGUAGAUGAUUGCAACAAAUAAUGGGGAAAAAAAAC